AUGCCCACCCCUCUCAAUGACCCCACUGGACAGAGGGGCUGCUUGGGACAGAGGGGCAGCUUCUCGGGACAGAGGGACAGCUGCUCGGGACAGAGGGACAGCUGCUCGGGACAGAGGGACAGCUGCUCGGGACAGAUGGACAGCUGCUCGGGACAGAGGGACAGCUGCUCGGGACAGAGGGGCAGCUGCUCCGGGCGGAGGGGCUCUAGCGGCCCCUGGCUGACUGGCGGCACUGGCGGCCCCUGGCUGACUGGCGGCCCCUGGCUGACUGGCGGCACUGGCGGCCCCUGGUUGACUGGCGGCGCUGGCGCUGGGCUGACUGGCGGCACUGGCGGCCCCUGGUUGACUGGCGGCACUGGCGGCCCCUGGCUGACUGGCGGCACUGGCGGCCCCUGGCUGACUGGCGGCACUGGCGGCCCCUGGCUGACGGGCGGCACUGGCGGCCCCUGGCUGACGGGCGGCACUGGCGGCUCCUGGCUGACGGGCGGCAUUGGCGGCGCUGGGCAGACGGGCGGCACUGGCGGCGCUGGGCAGACGGGCGGCACUGGCGGCGCUGGGCAGACGGGCGGCACUGGCGGCGCUGGGCAGACGGGCGGCACUGGCGGCGCUGGGCAGACGGGCGGCACUGGCGGCGCUGGGCAGACGGGCGGCGCUGGCGGCGCUGGGCAGACGGGCGGCGCUGGCGGCGCUGGGCAGACGGGCGGCACUGGGCAGACGGGAAGCUCCGAUGGCGCCGGACAGGCGGGAGGCUCCGGCAGAGGCGCCGGACAGGCGGGAGGCUCCGGCAGAGGCGCCGGACAGGCGGGAGGCUCCGGCAGAGGCGCCGGACAGGCGGGAGGCUCCGGCAGAGGCGCCGGACAGGCGGGAGGCUCCGGCAGAAGCGCCGGACAGGCGGGAGGCUCCGGCAGAGGCGCCGGACAGGCGGGAGGCUCCGGCAGAGGCGCCGGACAGGCGGGAGGCUCCGGCAGAGGCGCCGGACAGGCGGGAGGCUCCGGCAGAGGCGCCGGACAGGCGGGAGGCUCCGGCAGCGGCGCCGGACAGGCGGGAGGCUCCGGCAGAGGCGCCGGACAGGCGGGAUACUCCGGCAGCGCUGGAGAGGAGGAAGGCUCUGGACGGAUGGGCCGGAGAGACAGCCUGGUACGGGGAGCUGCCACCGGAGGGCUGGGGUGUGGAGGUGGUGACGGAUAG
RNAcentral lists this long non-coding RNA (1188 nucleotides) under Oncorhynchus mykiss (rainbow trout). Its description in RNAcentral is "lncRNA (ENSOMYG00000076220.1)". Lineage: Eukaryota; Metazoa; Chordata; Actinopteri; Salmoniformes; Salmonidae. The record is from RNAcentral.